UACGAAGGGGGCUAGCGUUGCUCGGAAUCACUGGGCGUAAAGCGCACGUAGGUGGGCCGCUAAGUCGGGGGUGAAAUCCUGGAGCUCAACUCCAGAACUGCCUUCGAUACUGGCGAUCUUUGAGUCCGGGAGAGGUGGGUGGAACUGCGAGUGUAGAGGUGAAAUUCGUAGAUAUUCGCAAGAACACCAGUGGCGAAGGCGGCUCACUGGCCCGGUACUGACACUGAGGUGCGAAAGCGUGGGGAGCAAACAGG
Molecule: ribosomal RNA, 254 nt
Filed under: uncultured bacterium
Lineage: Bacteria
Description: partial 16S ribosomal RNA
Rfam family: Bacterial small subunit ribosomal RNA
Source: RNAcentral